RNAcentral lists this long non-coding RNA (695 nucleotides) under Cavia porcellus (domestic guinea pig). RNAcentral describes it as "lncRNA (ENSCPOG00000038238.1)". The record is from RNAcentral. Lineage: Eukaryota; Metazoa; Chordata; Mammalia; Rodentia; Caviidae.
AUGAAAGUAAUAAUAAUGCCUAUCUCUGGGGUCAUUAUGAAGACUACGUCCGUUAAUAUUUUUCAAGUGUUUUUAUUACUCCUUUUAUUACUCAGGUAUCUGGUAAUAAACCUUAGCUAUUCUUGUCAUUAUGUUCCCCACCCAGGCAGUGAGUUGCAAGCAGCUGAGCUUAUGCAUGAGUGUGGAUGUGAAUCGUUCAAGACGUUCUCACAGCUGAGCAGAUACGAUUAUGGAGUUGGAUACGCCAGAGUUUAAAGGCUCACGGCUCUGGUGGAAGGGGCUGGAGCCCCCACCUUCUAGGCCACCUGCCUCACAGGAAGAGCUGCAGCGGAGCCAACCUGAAUUCCAAAAUUGCUCAACCCACUCCGGGAAGCCCGAGGCAGUAGCAUGGCGGGACCCACCUGAUGGGCACCUUUGCAUCUGGAAUCCUCUGCAGCCUUAAAACGCUCCGCCCACAGAAGCAGGACCAUGUCACACUCCCCAGAGCAUGGUCACCAUCACUUGGGAAUCUGCUGGUAAGUGGUGCUGUUGGCUCUGGCUGUGCACUGGGAAGAUGUCCUUCCCUGCUUUUAGCAGGGUAGCUCUGCAGAAUGUGUGCUUCAGAAUCAGGAAAAAUCGGGGAGCCAACAAUAGAAAGCAGGUUUAUACUAAUAUGCAACCUCUUAUCCUUUCGGCCAUUCUUAGUUUUUGGUGAG